Molecule: long non-coding RNA, 1868 nt
Organism: Vidua chalybeata
Lineage: Eukaryota; Metazoa; Chordata; Aves; Passeriformes; Viduidae
Exons: 2
Source: RefSeq, a predicted model, not a curated record
ACACAGCCACAGCAUUUUGUGCUGACCAUAAGUAAUGCCUCAGUGCAUUUGAUAUUCCCUAGCAUCGCAUUAGGAUUAAAUCAUGAUGGACCCACUUUCUAUCCUUCUGAACAUAGAGAAUGGGCCCGUCAAAUUGAUGACAAAUGGCAAACUGUCUAUUUAGAGUCCUGUACUAUCCGAGAACAACUAGGGUUUUUCUGUGAAGGUAACGCAUUUAUAGCUCAAGAUAUCUGUUUAGACACAGAACAAAAUAGCUGUCAUUUUGAUAUUCAUCCUAACGAGACUUCUGAAACAGUCCUUGUAAAUACAGGCAAUGGGCGUGCCUGCUUCAGAACCGCUUGUGAUAGUGUGUUUAUAGAAAGUACAGUAGUAGCUACUAAAAAUCAGUCAAAUUAUUGUGCUUGCAACUUUACUAAAAUUGCAGGAUGUGAUUUUUCUUUUGUAGCUCCAGUUACCUUACAUGAACUUUUAGAAUCCAAUCUCAUGUUGAUUCACAAGCUACUGCCUACUCCCAUUAGGAUGAACCUUACUUUGGUAAAGCAACUAUUACUUCAUCAAGAUCUAGAGAUAGAGAUCCUAGGAAAAUAGAGAUCCUAGGAAAAAUCAAGGAGAAUGGACAGAAAACUCUGGUAACUGUUCAUCAUGAUGUGCAAGAAAUACAUCGUGUUGUAGAAAGGGUGGAAAGUGAUGCCGAGCACAAGUGGUGGGAUACCCUUUUCGGGUGGUCACCCACCGCCACCGGUAUCCUGAACAAAUUGUGCCAUCCCGUUGUUGUUCUUCUGAUUUUAGUUAUGAUUGGUUUUGUUUUAUCAGUAAUCUUGCUUAUUGUAAAUUGGAGAAUGAUGAAACGAUGAACAAAAUUAACAUCUAUAAUUAAUGCACAGCACUUGGCCGACAUCCUUUACACUAUAGAUGUUCCCAGGACUGUAGACACAAGAAGAUUAUAGGUUUUCCUGUUUUCUCUUUCCUUUCCUUUUUCUCUUCCCUUUUCCCUGGAAUGUGCUGCCAACACUUGACGAGUCCUGAAGACUCCACGACGACACCAUGGAACCCUGCUGAUGAAGGUCUUUCGAGGGCAAUCGUCAGUCACGGGGUGGUGUAAGAGCCCGUCUGAAGCCCCUCAUUUUCCAUUCUGCCUUCCGAUUGCCACGAGAAAGAAUCCCUUCCUCCACUGCAGUUCCGGCUUAGAACAGGACACAGUGCAGGUGCAACCACUGAACCGUCAUGCUAGCUGUUCCGAACAAGGCCUGGCAAGAACUUGGCAAGGACUUGGCAAGGACCUGACGUGGACCCAGCACGGGACAGCCUGAUGCGCGGCCUGCUUCUAAUCUCCGUUCUUAAGCCAAAUGAACUUUUGGGGUGACUCCCGGGGUCCUUCAUUGAAGACCCCUCAUCUGCCUCGUUACCACUGUGACAAACAAAGAAUGAGAACCCUCCUCCCAAGGACUGAGACUGAGACCCCUGCUAUAGGGAGGAGGGGAAAUUGGUGGUCUGACCACUAAUGACAUGACCUGUUUCCCUUCAGUGAUUCAAAUGGACUCAUUCUUCAUUGGAUUCGUCUUGCUUUGGUGGUUUCUGUGGACUCAGCUGUUCCCGCGUGGCGAUUACAAUGGACUUUCGUUGUUCCACUUGCUCCCCCCUCUUUCCUCUGUGGACUAUAACUGGAGCCCCGAGUCGACCAGAACUUCGGAGACUCCCCCGACACGACAGACGGAACCCCAUCGUCCGGACCACUGAGGAUCUCGCCUGUGUUGGUAGCUAUUCCCAUACCCCUCUUCUCUCUCUCUCUCUCCUUUUAUCUCCUUUCCGAUCCCCACUAUCGCAUUUACUGGUUUGGCCCCUAAUAAAGGUGCAUUUGUUGUGAUUAA